AUGGCGAUGAGCAUCUGUCACACGGCGAGCCGCGGGCGGGCUGCCCUCGCUCGGGGGGCGCCGGGGCCCCCGGGCGCGCGGAGGCGGAGGCGAGCGGCGGGCGCCCCGGCCGGCCCCGCGCUUCCCGCCCGGCGCGGCCGCCUCCGCCGCGCCACCGAUUUACAGAGAGAGAUAUCAAGGGGGAAAAUGGCGUCUCCGGAGCCCGAGGAGUCCUGGAGUAAUCACAUUCACACACACACACACACACACACACACACACACACACACACACACACACGCCCGCACGCACACACUCGCACACCGCGCGCCGCGGGCCCGGCUAAUUUUAGCAGGAACCCCCCUCCCAAAUUAUAUAUAUAUCCCAGUCUAUCCAAUCAAUGCUAUUUUUUUUUUUUUUUUCCUUUUCUUCAAAGGAUGGAUUGGAGCCUUAAAAAAAAAUGUUGCCGGGUUCGGGCUCGCAGGAGGCAGCGCGCGAAGGGCGAGGGCGCUUUUGCUGAGCUGUGCAGUUCGGUCCGCGGCGCCGGGCGGCCCAGCCCGCCCGCUCGUCUGCCCGCGGUCGCUAGUGCUGCCACCGCCGCCGCCGCCGCCGCUCCAUGGCCGCGCCCGCCCCGCGCCCCCGCCGCGUCCCCUCGCCACCCGCCCGCGUCCCCGGCGAGCGCUGGAGUGGGGUCGGGCCCGAGUGGCUGCCUCCCGCGCCCUCUCUCGAGUCCCGGAGUCCUAGUGAAAGGAAGGGGGAGGGCGCGGGCGGGGGAGGGGGAGGAUCGCAGCGGCCUCGCGGCAGAGCCCAGCGGGGACCGCCACCCCGCGAUCUGCCUCGGCAGGGGUGCGGGCACCCCACACCAGCGCUUGCCCAGCCGACCGGGGGGCCGCUUCCCCGACUUGAGCCCGGGGGAGGCACAGCCAGGAACCUGCGAGCGACCUCUCUCCCUUCACCCUCCCUCAGUGAAUUUCUGUGGAUUUCGAUCCAUGGGAGGGAGUGGGGCUCGGGCCGGGGGUGAAGGAAAACAGUUCGUGGAGGCGGAUCGGAGACCCCUCGCCGCCCUCGCGCCCCUCCCGCUCCCCGGCGCCCUCGCGGCCCAGUGGCGCUGCGCGCCCGAGUCCGCGGCGGAGACUGGGCGGCCGCGGGGACUGCCGCGGGCUCGGCUCCGGGGCUCAACACUGCCACUGUCUGACACAACAGCAGCAGUGUCGGGGGAGCUGCGCGGCCGGGGCGCGAGAUGCGGUAGGCUCUGA
Molecule: long non-coding RNA, 1233 nt
Filed under: Bos indicus x Bos taurus (hybrid cattle)
Lineage: Eukaryota; Metazoa; Chordata; Mammalia; Artiodactyla; Bovidae
Description: lncRNA (ENSBIXG00005001609.1)
Source: RNAcentral